This 432-nucleotide ribosomal RNA is filed under the name uncultured bacterium. RNAcentral describes it as "bacterial SSU rRNA". It matches the Rfam family "Bacterial small subunit ribosomal RNA", at positions 29 to 507 of the family's 1533-position model. The record is from RNAcentral.
AACGAACGCUGGCGGCAGGCCUAACACAUGCAAGUCGAGCGCCCCGCAAGGGGAGCGGCGGACGGGUGAGUAACACGUGGGAAUUUUCCUCAAGGUACGGAACAACUCAGGGAAACUUGGGCUAAUACCGUAUGAUGCAGAGAUGCCAAAGAUUUAUCGCCUUGGGAUAAGCCCGCGUCAGAUUAGGUAGUUGGUGGGGUAAUGGCCUACCAAGCCUGUGAUCUGUAGCUGGUCUGAGAGGACGAUCAGCCACAUUGGGACUGAGACACGGCCCAAACUCCUACGGGAGGCAGCAGUGGGGAAUCUUGCGCAAUGGGCGAAAGCCUGACGCAGCCAUGCCGCGUGAAUGAUGAAGGUCUUAGGAUUGUAAAGUUCUUUUAGCCUGUGACGAUGAUGACGGUAACAGGAGAAUAAGCCCCGGCUAACUUCGUG